This 2184-nucleotide ribosomal RNA is filed under the name Escherichia coli. Its description in RNAcentral is "partial 23S ribosomal RNA". It matches the Rfam family "Bacterial large subunit ribosomal RNA", at positions 711 to 2873 of the family's 2925-position model. The record is from RNAcentral. Lineage: Bacteria; Pseudomonadati; Pseudomonadota; Gammaproteobacteria; Enterobacterales; Enterobacteriaceae.
AGACCCGAAACCCGGUGAUCUAGCCAUGGGCAGGUUGAAGGUUGGGUAACACUAACUGGAGGACCGAACCGACUAAUGUUGAAAAAUUAGCGGAUGACUUGUGGCUGGGGGUGAAAGGCCAAUCAAACCGGGAGAUAGCUGGUUCUCCCCGAAAGCUAUUUAGGUAGCGCCUCGUGAAUUCAUCUCCGGGGGUAGAGCACUGUUUCGGCAAGGGGGUCAUCCCGACUUACCAACCCGAUGCAAACUGCGAAUACCGGAGAAUGUUAUCACGGGAGACACACGGCGGGUGCUAACGUCCGUCGUGAAGAGGGAAACAACCCAGACCGCCAGCUAAGGUCCCAAAGUCAUGGUUAAGUGGGAAACGAUGUGGGAAGGCCCAGACAGCCAGGAUGUUGGCUUAGAAGCAGCCAUCAUUUAAAGAAAGCGUAAUAGCUCACUGGUCGAGUCGGCCUGCGCGGAAGAUGUAACGGGGCUAAACCAUGCACCGAAGCUGCGGCAGCGACACUGUGUGUUGUUGGGUAGGGGAGCGUUCUGUAAGCCUGUGAAGGUGUGCUGUGAGGCAUGCUGGAGGUAUCAGAAGUGCGAAUGCUGACAUAAGUAACGAUAAAGCGGGUGAAAAGCCCGCUCGCCGGAAGACCAAGGGUUCCUGUCCAACGUUAAUCGGGGCAGGGUGAGUCGACCCCUAAGGCGAGGCCGAAAGGCGUAGUCGAUGGGAAACAGGUUAAUAUUCCUGUACUUGGUGUUACUGCGAAGGGGGGACGGAGAAGGCUAUGUUGGCCGGGCGACGGUUGUCCCGGUUUAAGCGUGUAGGCUGGUUUUCCAGGCAAAUCCGGAAAAUCAAGGCUGAGGCGUGAUGACGAGGCACUACGGUGCUGAAGCAACAAAUGCCCUGCUUCCAGGAAAAGCCUCUAAGCAUCAGGUAACAUCAAAUCGUACCCCAAACCGACACAGGUGGUCAGGUAGAGAAUACCAAGGCGCUUGAGAGAACUCGGGUGAAGGAACUAGGCAAAAUGGUGCCGUAACUUCGGGAGAAGGCACGCUGAUAUGUAGGUGAAGUCCCUCGCGGAUGGAGCUGAAAUCAGUCGAAGAUACCAGCUGGCUGCAACUGUUUAUUAAAAACACAGCACUGUGCAAACACGAAAGUGGACGUAUACGGUGUGACGCCUGCCCGGUGCCGGAAGGUUAAUUGAUGGGGUCAGCGCAAGCGAAGCUCUUGAUCGAAGCCCCGGUAAACGGCGGCCGUAACUAUAACGGUCCUAAGGUAGCGAAAUUCCUUGUCGGGUAAGUUCCGACCUGCACGAAUGGCGUAAUGAUGGCCAGGCUGUCUCCACCCGAGACUCAGUGAAAUUGAACUCGCUGUGAAGAUGCAGUGUACCCGCGGCAAGACGGAAAGACCCCGUGAACCUUUACUAUAGCUUGACACUGAACAUUGAGCCUUGAUGUGUAGGAUAGGUGGGAGGCUUUGAAGUGUGGACGCCAGUCUGCAUGGAGCCGACCUUGAAAUACCACCCUUUAAUGUUUGAUGUUCUAACGUGGACCCGUGAUCCGGGUUGCGGACAGUGUCUGGUGGGUAGUUUGACUGGGGCGGUCUCCUCCUAAAGAGUAACGGAGGAGCACGAAGGUUGGCUAAUCCUGGUCGGACAUCAGGAGGUUAGUGCAAUGGCAUAAGCCAGCUUGACUGCGAGCGUGACGGCGCGAGCAGGUGCGAAAGCAGGUCAUAGUGAUCCGGUGGUUCUGAAUGGAAGGGCCAUCGCUCAACGGAUAAAAGGUACUCCGGGGAUAACAGGCUGAUACCGCCCAAGAGUUCAUAUCGACGGCGGUGUUUGGCACCUCGAUGUCGGCUCAUCACAUCCUGGGGCUGAAGUAGGUCCCAAGGGUAUGGCUGUUCGCCAUUUAAAGUGGUACGCGAGCUGGGUUUAGAACGUCGUGAGACAGUUCGGUCCCUAUCUGCCGUGGGCGCUGGAGAACUGAGGGGGGCUGCUCCUAGUACGAGAGGACCGGAGUGGACGCAUCACUGGUGUUCGGGUUGUCAUGCCAAUGGCACUGCCCGGUAGCUAAAUGCGGAAGAGAUAAGUGCUGAAAGCAUCUAAGCACGAAACUUGCCCCGAGAUGAGUUCUCCCUGACCCUUUAAGGGUCCUGAAGGAACGUUGAAGACGACGACGUUGAUAGGCCGGGUGUGUAAG